AAACAAGAUGGUUUAAAAAAUUAAACAACAAAAUACACGAUUUCUUUACAAAUUGUUGUCCAAACUCACCCAGUUAUAGCUACAGCCCAUUACAUGGCCCAUCAUGCAAUUAGUGGAACCAAACCCCCUAGACAAACCGCCACUCUUCGAAAAGCGCUCUUCGUGAACUUCCUUGCGGCUGCCACAUAUGAGUAAAUACUAUAUAAGUGAAUUCGAGUGCGAGUUUGUGGAAGCGGAGUACAAAGCCAACUAUAAGCCAAGGAUGGACAUGGGAUAGGAAAUGGCUGAGGGAAAUGGGGAAUAACCUAGCCGUACCAAAAGAAAAGUAAAAACUCAAAUGAAAAAUCAUACAAAAGGCGCAUAAAUUAGCAAUGAGAGCAUUGGUCUAAUAAGCAGGGUGAGUGGUGUAAGGCAGUUACAGUCGGCGUGCCUGCGACGCAUUCAUUAGUUUAAUAUUAAAAUAGUCAUCAUAAACUGGUAGCUGAACGCCCGAAACAAUGUGCAGCAAAACCAAAAGGCGGAGGAUCAGCAAAGAAUGUAUCAGCAAGUACUAAGGGCCAAGAUUUAUGAACUGCAGUCAACGAGUCAUAGUUAUGUACAGCAGUGGUCAAAAAUGGUAAUAAGACGUAGGGCCCGGAAAACAUUAUAAAACAUUAAAGACCCUGCAUUCAUAGCUGCAGUUCUAUAAAUUUAAUAUAAUAUAAAUCUA
Long non-coding RNA from Drosophila elegans, 709 nucleotides. RefSeq lists it as uncharacterized. The record is from RefSeq and is a predicted model, not a curated record. NCBI's taxonomy places the organism in Eukaryota, Metazoa, Arthropoda, Insecta, Diptera, Drosophilidae. The transcript is spliced from 3 exons.